This 417-nucleotide ribosomal RNA is filed under the name Peribacillus simplex. RNAcentral's name for it is "bacterial SSU rRNA". It matches the Rfam family "Bacterial small subunit ribosomal RNA", at positions 43 to 450 of the family's 1533-position model. The record is from RNAcentral. Lineage: Bacteria; Bacillati; Bacillota; Bacilli; Caryophanales; Bacillaceae.
CGUGCCUAAUACAUGCAAGUCGAGCGAAUCGAUGGGAGCUUGCUCCCUGAGAUUAGCGGCGGACGGGUGAGUAACACGUGGGCAACCUGCCUAUAAGACUGGGAUAACUUCGGGAAACCGGAGCUAAUACCGGAUACGUUCUUUUCUCGCAUGAGAGAAGAUGGAAAGACGGUUUACGCUGUCACUUAUAGAUGGGCCCGCGGCGCAUUAGCUAGUUGGUGAGGUAAUGGCUCACCAAGGCGACGAUGCGUAGCCGACCUGAGAGGGUGAUCGGCCACACUGGGACUGAGACACGGCCCAGACUCCUACGGGAGGCAGCAGUAGGGAAUCUUCCGCAAUGGACGAAAGUCUGACGGAGCAACGCCGCGUGAACGAAGAAGGCCUUCGGGUCGUAAAGUUCUGUUGUUAGGGAAGAAC